CGUGUAGGCGGCUUGGCAAGUCGGGUGUGAAAUCCCGGGGCCCAACCCCGGAACUGCAUUCGAAACUGCCUCGCUAGAGUCCCGGAGAGGAAGGCGGAAUUCCCGGUGUAGAGGUGAAAUUCGUAGAUAUCGGGAGGAACACCAGCGGCGAAGGCGGCCUUCUGGACGGUGACUGACGCUGAGACGCGAAAGCGUGGGGAGCAAACAGGAUUAGAUACCCUGGUAGUCCACGCCGUAAACGUUGGGUGCUAGGUGUCGCGGGUAUUGACCCCUGCGGUGCCGACGCUAACGCAUUAAGCACCCCGCCUGGGAAGUACGGUCGCAAGGCUAAA
This 332-nucleotide ribosomal RNA is filed under the name uncultured Phaselicystis sp. Its description in RNAcentral is "bacterial SSU rRNA". It matches the Rfam family "Bacterial small subunit ribosomal RNA", at positions 568 to 898 of the family's 1533-position model. Lineage: Bacteria; Pseudomonadati; Myxococcota; Polyangiales; Phaselicystidaceae. The record is from RNAcentral.